RNAcentral lists this ribosomal RNA (278 nucleotides) under Neoxabea cerrojesusensis. Its description in RNAcentral is "partial 12S ribosomal RNA". The record is from RNAcentral. Lineage: Eukaryota; Metazoa; Arthropoda; Insecta; Orthoptera; Gryllidae.
CGGUGUUUUAGUCCAUUCAGAGGAAUCUGUCUUUUAAUUGAUAAUACACGAUUGGUUGUACUUAAAUUUGUUUUCAGUUUAUAUACCGUCGUCAUAAGAAUAUUUUGAAAGAAAAUUAAAUUUCUUAAUUUUAUAUUGAAUAAUAUGUCAGAUCAAGGUGUAAUUUAUGUUUAAGUUUGGAUGGGUUACAAUAAAUGUAUUUAUAUGAAUUAAUAAUUUAAUUGUUAUUAUGAAGGUGGAUUUGAUUGUAAAUUAUAUUAAUUAUUAUUUUUGAUUUU